CCUACGGGGGGCAGCAGUGGGGAAUAUUGCACAAUGGGGGAGACCCUGAUGCAGCAACGCCGCGUGAAGGAAGACGGUUUUCGGAUUGUUAACUUCUUUUCUUAGUGAAGAAUAAUGACGGUAGCUCAGGAUCAAGCCACGGCUAACUACGUGCCAGCAGCCGCGGUAAUACGUAGGGGGCAAGCGUUGUCCGGAAUUACUUGGUGUAAAGGGAUCGCAGGGGGGAAGUCAAGUCAGCUGUGAAAACUACGGGCUUAACUUCUAGACUGCAGUUGAAACUGUUUUUCUUGAGUGAAGUAGAGGUAGGCGGAAUUCCGGGUGUAGCGGUGAAAUGCGUAGAUAUUCGGAGGAACACCGGUGGCGAAGGCGGCCAACUGGUCUUUAACUGACGCUGAGGCUCGAAAGUGUGGGGAGCAAACAGGAUUAGAUACCCUAGUAGUC
This 441-nucleotide ribosomal RNA is filed under the name uncultured bacterium. RNAcentral's name for it is "partial 16S ribosomal RNA". It matches the Rfam family "Bacterial small subunit ribosomal RNA", at positions 338 to 795 of the family's 1533-position model. The record is from RNAcentral.